Non-coding RNA from Pelobates cultripes (western spadefoot toad), 204 nucleotides. The record is from the annotation of a GenBank genome assembly. NCBI's taxonomy places the organism in Eukaryota, Metazoa, Chordata, Amphibia, Anura, Pelobatidae.
GUUUUGAUAGAAAGAAAGAAGGAAAAGGUAUGUUGUAGCAGUCACAAGGACUGUGAUCCUAAGCAGGCGAGACAAAGAAAUUUGGGAGGUGAUAGGAGAUUGAAUCAGAAAAGUUUUAAAGGCAAAGGUAGAGGAUUUGGUCAAAGUUUCUAACUUUUGUAGAGGUAGCAACUUCAGUAUUGGUGGAACACACAGUUCUAAUUG